UCUGUUCUCCACUCCAUUCAUCACAAUGGGGAAGAAGAAGGAGAAGAAAAUGAAGGCAAUUCCAAAUCCAAUUGAUUGUAUACCCAAAUAUUCACCCAAGAAGCUAUCCAAUCAAACCCCGCGCUGAUUUCUCUGUGCUUACAUGCACUCCCUCCUUAUUUAAUCCAGAUUCGUCGUCAUAUACACAUUCUAGAGUACUUAGAUUGUCCAAUUCCAAUGCAAAUAGUUUACAGGAGAGGGGAGUGGAAGAAAAACAAUUUUCAGCUGGUACACUGGUCCAACGUAACUAUUUCCAAAAGCAUAGAUCAGUGUGUUCAUCCGAAUUUUCUGAUGUUCUGGUUAAGGAAGUCAAGUUCCGCUGUCCAAGAUGAAAGUCUCAAUCAUGGGAUCUACAGGCAUGCUGAAAUUCUCUUGUAAUUCCUGGAAGUGUAAUAUGGGCUAGAACAGAUAAUCAAAUUCGGUGGCCUGUUGAGAUCAUGGAAGAAAGAUCCACAGUACCUGUUCCAGCCUCUGAUGGACAUGUUCUAGUGCAGUUUUAUGGAAAUUGUUCCAGGUAUUAUAACAUGUUUUUAUUAAAAAAAAUAAAAAAUUGUCUUGCCAGCUUAGCUGUAACUCUAUGGAAGUUUCUUGGAUUUCCUUAAACUCUUUUUUUGCUAUGCAAUAUUACAUUUUCAAUUUACAGUGCUUGGAUUAAUCCAAUGACAGAUGUUUCUUCGUUUGAGGAUGUAAGUGUAAUCUUGGCCCUCCACCAUGUUUUCUCCUAUAUAAAUUUGUUGUAUUUAGAAGUUCCUGUUUCUAUUUUCAUUUUGAUCACUUCUAAGUAGCAAUGAGAAUUGAGAAAGAAAAAAAGGGGUUGGGGCAAGCCGGGUGCUAGGGAGGUGGACCGAGAAUUAUUGGUUAUGAAUUUAACUGUUACCAACGGUGUCACGACUUCUUGUGGAUUAUUUCAGUGAACAUAUUGGUUGUAAAGUGAAUCAGGAGGGUGUUUUCAAUGUUCUAUUUGUCUAAGCAGGUUGCAAUUUUCAACAACAAUAAAGGAGAUAGUAAUUAAAUUAUAUAUUAUCAACUUCUCAUUUUUAUGCACGAAUUUUAUUUCAGUCUUUUGAAGCAAGGAGCACCCACUCUUCUAAAGAUUUUCACAAGGCUCUAAAACAUGCCUUACGGAGGAAGGAACAACUUAGUUCUUGCAUUAGAUCGAGUUCUGAUAGGCGUUCCCACUGCAAUCGGCAAAAUCAUUCAUCUGGAAUGUUCUAUCUUAUUUCAUCACAGAAUCAUGUUUUAGACAGAAAGGCACAUAUAACAGGAUAGGAAACUAAUGUAUUACCGAAUCUUACGAUGGCUUGAUCAUAUUCAAUAAAUAAAAGAACUUCAUGCACCUCAAGCGCUACAGUGGAUGAUUUUCUAUUGAGAGGAAGGGGCAAAAGGGAACGUAAACGCAAGGUUCAUUUUGAUGUGAGUUGCUACGUCAAGACUGUAGAAAAACUAAGAGA
Molecule: non-coding RNA, 1490 nt
Organism: Cajanus cajan (pigeon pea)
Lineage: Eukaryota; Viridiplantae; Streptophyta; Magnoliopsida; Fabales; Fabaceae
Source: RefSeq, a predicted model, not a curated record